RNAcentral lists this ribosomal RNA (490 nucleotides) under Fusarium culmorum. Its description in RNAcentral is "eukaryotic LSU rRNA". The stretch from base 137 to 290 matches the Rfam family "5.8S ribosomal RNA". Lineage: Eukaryota; Fungi; Ascomycota; Sordariomycetes; Hypocreales; Nectriaceae. The record is from RNAcentral.
CUCCCAAACCCCUGUGAACAUACCUUAUGUUGCCUCGGCGGAUCAGCCCGCGCCCCGUGAAAAGGGACGGCCCGCCGCAGGAACCCUAAACUCUGUUUUUAGUGGAACUUCUGAGUAUAAAAAACAAAUAAAUCAAAACUUUCAACAACGGAUCUCUUGGUUCUGGCAUCGAUGAAGAACGCAGCAAAAUGCGAUAAGUAAUGUGAAUUGCAGAAUUCAGUGAAUCAUCGAAUCUUUGAACGCACAUUGCGCCCGCCAGUAUUCUGGCGGGCAUGCCUGUUCGAGCGUCAUUUCAACCCUCAAGCCCAGCUUGGUGUUGGGAGCUGCAGUCCUGCUGCACUCCCCAAAUACAUUGGCGGUCACGUCGAGCUUCCAUAGCGUAGUAAUUUACAUAUCGUUACUGGUAAUCGUCGCGGCCACGCCGUUAAACCCCAACUUCUGAAUGUUGACCUCGGAUCAGGUAGGAAUACCCGCUGAACUUAAGCAUAUC